This 1005-nucleotide long non-coding RNA is filed under the name Homo sapiens (human). RNAcentral's name for it is "HSALNT0399123". The record is from RNAcentral. Lineage: Eukaryota; Metazoa; Chordata; Mammalia; Primates; Hominidae.
CAUCACAGCAGCAAUCACACUGUCCUGUUUCCCCAGACAGCCUGUGACCAACUCAAGGGCAGGGUCUGUGUGUACCCUACAGCGCCUAGCUCAGGGAGGAAUGCAGAUUGUGUGUGAAUGAACGAACGAACGAACCAACACAAAUAGCUGACAUCAAGCAAUUAUGGGGUGCCAGGCACCGUGCUAAGUGCUUUACAGGUAUCAUGUUAUUUUCUGCUCACCACAGCCUUAUGGGGAAGGCACUGUUAUUAGCACUACCCUUUUACAGAUGAGGAAACAGGCUAAGAGGCAUUAAACAACAACCAAGCAUCCAGGCAGUCAAGACUCUAAUCUGACUUACAUUCUCAUUUGAUGGACCAUCAUCCUCAGUGGACCUCCUCUGUAAGGGAUCCUGCCUCUGACAAGCUCUCUGAGAUUUGAGUAGGGAGAAAGCUCAGAAUCACUUGGCCCUCUGGGAGGAGGAAGAUGGUCAUCCUGCAACCCUCUGCACCAUUUAGGUGUCCUGGUCCUGUCCAUCUGCUCAUGGAACAGCUUGAUCUAGAAGAGAAAUAAUGUGGCGAAGAGGGUUUUUGGGCCAAAGACAAGAAAAUAUCACAGGGCCAGGGUUGUUACUGUCUUUAGCCAGGAUCUGGCCAUUGGGACAUCGGCUCCCCUCAAAGGCGGGGGGGUUGGAAGCUUGGGGAGUCUCUUGGCUAAAUCCUACCCAUCUCCACUAUGCUCCAUCCCUAAGAUAGCCAACACUUGACCAGUAGAUGCUAACGUACCUCCACUGACAAGAAGCUCCCUACCACUCCAGCCCAGAUCUCAGCAAGUUUCUCUUUCUCUAGCUGAAAUGUACCUCCUGGGGAACAUCAAAAGGAGUCCAUUCUCCAGGAGAGACCAGCAGGCCCAGAUGGAGGGCCUCCCUGACUUUGUCAGGAGCAAGAGACAUACUAUGGAGGAGAAGGUGAUCAAGGCCUGCAUCAUGCCCACAGAAAUACAAUAAAGCCCUCACCCUUUCCUGUG